This 415-nucleotide ribosomal RNA is filed under the name uncultured bacterium. Its description in RNAcentral is "bacterial SSU rRNA". It matches the Rfam family "Bacterial small subunit ribosomal RNA", at positions 355 to 787 of the family's 1533-position model. The record is from RNAcentral.
UGGGGAAUAUUGCACAAUGGGGGAAACCCUGAUGCAGCGACGCCGCGUGAAGGAAGAAGUAUCUCGGUAUGUAAACUUCUAUCAGCAGGGAAGAAAAUGACGGUACCUGACUAAGAAGCCCCGGCUAACUACGUGCCAGCAGCCGCGGUAAUACGUAGGGGGCAAGCGUUAUCCGGAUUUACUGGGUGUAAAGGGAGCGUAGACGGAGCAGCAAGUCUGAUGUGAAAGGCAGGGGCUCAACCCCUGGACUGCAUUGGAAACUGUUGGUCUUGAGUACCGGAGGGGUAAGCGGAAUUCCUAGUGUAGCGGUGAAAUGCGUAGAUAUUAGGAGGAACACCAGUGGCGAAGGCGGCAUACCGGCGCCCGACUGACGCUGAGGCACGAAAGCGUGGGGAUCGAACAGGAUUAGAUACCC